Molecule: ribosomal RNA, 252 nt
Filed under: uncultured bacterium
Lineage: Bacteria
Description: partial 16S ribosomal RNA
Rfam family: Bacterial small subunit ribosomal RNA
Source: RNAcentral
UACGAAGGGGGCUAGCGUUGCUCGGAAUCACUGGGCGUAAAGGGUGCGUAGGCGGGUCUUUAAGUCAGGGGUGAAAUCCUGGAGCUCAACUCCAGAACUGCCUUUGAUACUGAGGAUCUUGAGUUCGGGAGAGGUGAGUGGAACUGCGAGUGUAGAGGUGAAAUUCGUAGAUAUUCGCAAGAACACCAGUGGCGAAGGCGGCUCACUGGCCGGUACUGACGCUGAGGUGCGAAAGCGUGGGGAGCAAACAGG